CUAAGUUUGAUGGCGACCGGCGCACGGGUGUGUAACACGUAUCCAACCUGCCGAUGACUCGGGGAUAGCCUUUCGAAAGAAAGAUUAAUACCCGAUGGCAUAGUUCUUCCGCAUGGUGGAACUAUUAAAGAAUUUCGGUCAUCGAUGGGGAUGCGUUCCAUUAGGUUGUUGGCGGGGUAACGGCCCACCAAGCCUUCGAUGGAUAGGGGUUCUGAGAGGAAGGUCCCCCACAUUGGAACUGAGACACGGUCCAAACUCCUACGGGAGGCAGCAUG
Molecule: ribosomal RNA, 275 nt
Filed under: uncultured bacterium
Lineage: Bacteria
Description: partial 16S ribosomal RNA
Rfam family: Bacterial small subunit ribosomal RNA
Source: RNAcentral